This 497-nucleotide ribosomal RNA is filed under the name uncultured bacterium. RNAcentral's name for it is "partial 16S ribosomal RNA". It matches the Rfam family "Bacterial small subunit ribosomal RNA", at positions 28 to 507 of the family's 1533-position model. The record is from RNAcentral.
GAUGAACGCUGGCGGCGUGCCUAAUACAUGCAAGUCGAGCGAACAGACGAGGAGCUUGCUCCUCUGACGUUAGCGGCGGACGGGUGAGUAACACGUGGAUAACCUACCUAUAAGACUGGGAUAACUUCGGGAAACCGGAGCUAAUACCGGAUAAUAUAUUGAACCGCAUGGUUCAAUAGUGAAAGACGGUUUUGCUGUCACUUAUAGAUGGAUCCGCGCCGCAUUAGCUAGUUGGUAAGGUAACGGCUUACCAAGGCAACGAUGCGUAGCCGACCUGAGAGGGUGAUCGGCCACACGGGAACUGAGACACGGUCCAGACUCCUACGGGAGGCAGCAGUAGGGAAUCUUCAGCAAUGGGCGAAAGCCUGACGGAGCAACGCCGCGUGAGUGAUGAAGGUCUUCGGAUCGUAAAACUCUGUUAUUAGGGAAGAACAAAUGUGUAAGUAACUAUGCACGUCUUGACGGUACCUAAUCAGAAAGCCACGGAUAACUACGUG